UAGGGGGUUCAUGGUGUAGUUUUUGAAGGGGGUCGAAGUUUAGUUGAAUUAUUAUGAUUAUAUUAUUGAAUAUAUGUGUUUAAAACUAGAAUCCAAAAGAAAUAUAUGAAAUUUCUAAUUAUAGGAAAAUGAAAUAAUUUGGGAAUGCCCAAUGAUGGUUCAUUAGAUGUUUUUGUCAGUUCUCUGUAAACUAGUGAUGUUUAUUGUCCUUUUCAUAUACACUGGCGGCAAUUAUUACCACUAAUAAACGAUCUUAUCUUAUAACCACAAGAAACUAUUGUUUCCUUGCUUCCAUUGAUUCCAUUAAUCCGAAUAUUCCAUUUCCUUCACGUCGCCAACUACUAAUCCAAAUAUUCAAAUUUUAACUCAGUUUUCCACUAAAAAAAUCGUUAUUCAAAAAGA
Molecule: long non-coding RNA, 402 nt
Filed under: Brassica napus (rape)
Lineage: Eukaryota; Viridiplantae; Streptophyta; Magnoliopsida; Brassicales; Brassicaceae
Description: long non-coding RNA (BNAP_LNC001902)
Source: RNAcentral